This 293-nucleotide ribosomal RNA is filed under the name uncultured bacterium. RNAcentral describes it as "partial 16S ribosomal RNA". It matches the Rfam family "Bacterial small subunit ribosomal RNA", at positions 775 to 1067 of the family's 1533-position model. The record is from RNAcentral.
GGAUUAGAUACCCUGGUAGUCCACACCGUAAACGCUGUCUACUAGCUGUGUGUGCAUUUAAUGUGUGCGUAGCGAAGCAAACGCGCUAAGUAGACCGCCUGGGGAGUACGGUCGCAAGAUUAAAACUCAAAUGAAUUGACGGGGGCCCGCACAAGCGGUGGAGCAUGUGGUUUAAUUCGAUGCAACGCGAAGAACCUUACCUACUCUUGACAUACAAAGAACUUAGCAGAGAUGCUUUGGUGCCUUCGGGACCUUUGAUACAGGUGCUGCAUGGCUGUCGUCAGCUCGUGCCG